UGUGUGUGUGUGCGCGCACGUGCAUUUCGUCUAAUUUUUUGUGCAUGUUUCUGGUAUAUAGAUCACCUUAAAUCUAGAGCACAAACAUAUGCUUAAUUUUCCUAAAGAUUAUGACCAUUUGCCACUUAUAGCUAAAGUGGAGGUGUUUGAGUAUGCUCUGCAAAAUAGUGAAGGAAAUGACCUGGCAAGGGUGUUUUAGUUAAAAAGUUGCACUUUUGAGAAUUGGCUGGACAGGAGGACAAAUUAUACUAGAAGCUUGGCUGUCAUGAGCAUGGGAUUCUUUGUUAUUCUUUCAUGGAUGCCUAUAUAUUUUAAAACAUCAAUUGGUUUUGUUGGUCCUGGGAUUGCGCUCAAUGGUCUAACCAUGGCAAAGCACACAUCAAUAGCAUCUGCGUGGCUUACUUUAGCUGUUGGGCUAAAAUCAUUUAGUCAUUAUGGGUUCCUUGUGAAUCUUCAGGUUUCUUAAGAAGCAAGGUUUCAAAGGACAAUUUAAAGGAAGAGGUAUCUCAUGAACUCGUAGAUCGCCAUUUUGAUUGGUUUUUGAUGACGUUUGGAAGCAUACUUGCAAAUCAAGAUCAAGUGUUAAAUUUUUUUUUCCUGAACUGAUACUUGGUUCUAGUUGCAAAUCAAGAUUGAAUGCCGAUUUUUUUUUUGUGAACUCCAUGUUAGUUCAUUUUUGGAUUUGCUUUGAUGGUUUUUUUGUUAUACUUAAUGGAUUAUUAUUAAAUUUGUUUGAUGGAUAUAUUUUGAUUUAUAAUAUAAAUUUUUUGGUGAAUUUUUUUAUGGAGUGGCAUAUAAUAGCUAAUGGAUUUCUUAGUACAUUUAAAAGGUUAUUGGGAUAUGAAUAGGGAUAUUUGUAAAAUAAUAAUUUAAAUUGAAAUACAAAAUAUGGGACAAGUUUAGUGACGAAUUGUUUUCGUCAUUUGUAUUUGUUAUUAUGACAAAGUGAUUAUUUGUCGCUAAUAAAUAUUUUUUGUGACAAAAUUUACUAUAGUUUAUAUAUGAAGGUUUUCAUUAAUUUUGUUGUUUGGUGAUUAAAAAUUUCGUCAUGUAUAUAUAUUUUUGUUACGAAAUAUAUUUCGUCACCCAUGUAUGAUAUUUGGAGACGAAAA
Molecule: non-coding RNA, 1112 nt
Organism: Camellia sinensis
Lineage: Eukaryota; Viridiplantae; Streptophyta; Magnoliopsida; Ericales; Theaceae
Source: RefSeq, a predicted model, not a curated record